Molecule: ribosomal RNA, 478 nt
Filed under: uncultured bacterium
Lineage: Bacteria
Description: bacterial SSU rRNA
Rfam family: Bacterial small subunit ribosomal RNA
Source: RNAcentral
CUGGCUCAGGACGAACGCUGGCGGCGUGCUUCAUACAUGCAAGUCGAACGAUAAGGUCUCUUCGGAGAUACAUAAGUGGCGGACGGGUGAGUAAUGUGUAGAGAAUCUGCCCUAGAGUGGGGGACAACAGAGGGAAACUUCUGCUAAUACCCCAUAUGCGCGUACUUGAGAUAGUAUUCGUGAAAACUCCGGUGCUCUAGGAUGAGUCUGCAUCUGAUUAGCUAGUAGGCGGUGUAAUGGACCACCUAGGCGACGAUCAGUAGCUGGUUUGAGAGGAUGAUCAGCCACAAUGGGACUGAGACACGGCCCAUACUCCUACGGGAGGCAGCAGUAGGGAAUUUUGCGCAAUGGGGGAAACCCUGACGCAGCAACGCCGCGUGAAUGAAGAAGCCCUUCGGGGUGUAAAGUUCUGUCAGUGGGGACGAAACUUGACGGUACCCACAGAGGAAGCAUCGGCUAACUCCGUGCCAGCCGCCGC